Molecule: ribosomal RNA, 498 nt
Filed under: uncultured bacterium
Lineage: Bacteria
Description: partial 16S ribosomal RNA
Rfam family: Bacterial small subunit ribosomal RNA
Source: RNAcentral
ACGAACGCUGGCGGCGUGCCUCAUACAUGCAAGUCGAGCGAAGUUUUUCUGGUGCUUGCACCGGAAAAACUUAGCGGCGACCGGGUGAGUAACACGUAAAGAACCUGCCUCAUAGACUGGGACAACUAUUGGAAACGAUAGCUAAUACCGGAUAAUAGCAUUAACUGCAUGGUUGAUGUUUAAAAGUUGGUUUUGCUAACACUAUGAGAUGGCUUUGCGGUGCAUUAGCUAGUUGGUGGGGUAAAGGCCUACCAAGGCGACGAUGCAUAGCCGACCUGAGAGGGUGAUCGGCCACACUGGGACUGAGACACGGCCCAGACUCCUACGGGAGGCAGCAGUAGGGAAUCUUCCGCAAUGGGCGAAAGCCUGACGGAGCAACGCCGCGUGAGUGAAGAAGGAUUUCGGUUCGUAAAGCUCUGUUGUUAGGGAAGAAUGAUUGUGUAGUAACUAUACACAGUAGAGACGGUACCUAACCAGAAAGCCACGGCUAACUACGUG